CGGAAUUAUUGGGCGUAAAGAGCUCGUAGGCGGUUUGUCGCGUCUGCCGUGAAAGUCCGGGGCUUAACCCCGGAUCUGCGGUGGGUACGGGCAGACUAGAGUGCAGUAGGGGAGACUGGAAUUCCUGGUGUAGCGGUGAAAUGCGCAGAUAUCAGGAGGAACACCGAUGGCGAAGGCAGGUCUCUGGGCUGUAACUGACGCUGAGGAGCGAAAGCAUGGGGAGCGAACAGGAUUAGAUACCCUGGUAGUCCAUGCCGUAAACGUUGGGCACUAGGUGUGGGGGACAUUCCACGUUUUCCGCGCCGUAGCUAACGCAUUAAGUGCCCCGCCUGGGGAGUACGGCCGCAAGGCUAAAACUCAAAGGAAUAGACGGGGGCCCGCACAAGCGGCGGAGCAUGCGGAUUAAUUCGAUGCAACGCGAAGAACCUUACCAAGGCUUGACAUGAACCGGAAUGAUGCAGAGAUGUGUCAGCCACUUGUGGCCGGUUUACAGGUGGUGCAUGGUUGUCGUCAGCUCGUGUCGUGAGAUGUUGGGUUAAGUCCCGCAACGAGCGCAACCCUCGUUCCAUGUUGCCAGCGGGUUAUGCCGGGGACUCAUGGGAGACUGCCGGGGUCAACUCGGAGGAAGGUGGGGACGACGUCAAAUCAUCAUGCCCCUUAUGUCUUGGGCUUCACGCAUGCUACAAUGGCCGGUACAAAGGGUUGCGAUACUGUGAGGUGGAGCUAAUCCCAAAAAGCCGGUCUCAGUUCGGAUUGAGGUCUGCAACUCGACCUCAUGAAGUUGGAGUCGCUAG
RNAcentral lists this ribosomal RNA (794 nucleotides) under uncultured bacterium. Its description in RNAcentral is "bacterial SSU rRNA". It matches the Rfam family "Bacterial small subunit ribosomal RNA", at positions 546 to 1338 of the family's 1533-position model. The record is from RNAcentral.